RNAcentral lists this ribosomal RNA (454 nucleotides) under uncultured Rikenellaceae bacterium. RNAcentral's name for it is "partial 16S ribosomal RNA". It matches the Rfam family "Bacterial small subunit ribosomal RNA", at positions 341 to 792 of the family's 1533-position model. Lineage: Bacteria; Pseudomonadati; Bacteroidota; Bacteroidia; Bacteroidales; Rikenellaceae. The record is from RNAcentral.
ACGGGAGGCAGCAGUGAGGAAUAUUGGUCAAUGGACGGAAGUCUGAACCAGCCAUGCCGCGUGAAGGGUUAAGGCCCUAUGGGUCGUAAACUUCUUUUGUGGUGGAGCAAUAAGGUGCACGUGUGCAUCGAUGAGAGUACAUCACGAAUAAGCAUAGGCUAACUCCGUGCCAGCAGCCGCGGUACUACGGAGGAUGCAAGCGAUAUCCGGAUUUAUUGGGUUUAAAGGGUGCGUAGGCUGUUCUUCAAGUCAGAGGUGAAAGACCCGAGCCUAACUCGGGAACUGCCUUUGAUACUGGAGGGCUUGAAUACUGUAGCCGUAGGAGGAAUGAGAAGUGUAGCGGUGAAAUGCAUAGAUAUUACGCAGAACACCGAUUGCGAAGGCAGCUCACGAAGCAGCGAUUGACGCUGAGGCACGAAAGCGUGGGGAUCAAACAGGAUUAGAUACCCUGGUA